UUUCCGUAGGUGAACCUGCGGAAGGAUCAUUAGUAAUCGCACUGUCGGGCUUAUAACUAUUCCAAACCUCUGUGAACCGUGCCCUUCGGGGCUAUUAUACAAAAAUGGUGUAAUGAACUUUAUAUAUCAUAACAAAACAACACUUUCAACAACGGAUCUCUUGGCUCUC
This 169-nucleotide unclassified non-coding RNA is filed under the name plant metagenome. Its description in RNAcentral is "partial contains small subunit ribosomal RNA, internal transcribed spacer 1, and 5.8S ribosomal RNA". The record is from RNAcentral.